Molecule: long non-coding RNA, 7665 nt
Organism: Corvus hawaiiensis (hawaiian crow)
Lineage: Eukaryota; Metazoa; Chordata; Aves; Passeriformes; Corvidae
Exons: 3
Source: RefSeq, a predicted model, not a curated record
UCUCUGAGCCCCCAUUCCCAAACAGGAACGCUCCCCCUGAAGGCUGAAGGGAGCAGCACACCCGCGUGUGGUGCAGGACUGUCACAGCAGCCCUCGGCGCAAGCAACAGUGAUUAGCAAUUUCCAAAGCACUUCAGCAGGUUUCCAUUUCCAAAAGCAGCUCCCGGAUGGCAGGAGAAGCAAGGAGGCCCCAGCCUGUCUGCACAUGCAGAAAUUUGUUGUUCCUGCAACAUCCUGGGGAAAAAAAUCCUGAUCUGACUCUGAAGAGCAGCUCCAGGAAAUCUGUCCAGUCUGAAUUGCUAAGAAGGUAGAGAAAGCCAGGCAGGAUUUGACUGGGACACCUGGAUUAUCAUCUAAAUGAUAAGAGUGCCAGCCUCUUCUGUCUGCAGAAGCAGGUGAGGAACCCAAGAGUGAUGAGGCUGCUGUGACACCAGUGGCACAUUCAGCACAAGACCUACAGCACUGUCAAGCUGGGAACAGAGUCCAGGUCAGGAACAAACAUUUCCUAAAGCUCUUAACAGAUGAAGGUUCUGGGACUGGCACCUGAGCACAGACAUCCCAGAAAUUCCUUUUCAGCCCAACCCAGAACAAACACAAUUACAAUAAUAAUAAAUGCAGCAAUUACAAUAAUAAUAAAAAUGGUCUUUCCUAGCGUGCAGUGCCCUGGGUCAUGGAUGGCAGCCUCCCCCUUUUGGUGGUAAAGGUUGGUUUUGUGUCACUCCCUUGAAGGGCUGACUGCAGCUGCUGGCAGGGCAAGGAGAACAGCAGAAUUCCUGAGGACACUGCCACCCCAAACAGUGUCUGGGGCCCCGGGGAGCUUGGGCGCCAUCCGGCACAGUCACCCCAGGCACUGCCUGUCCCUGUGUCCGGAGUGUCCUCAGCAGCUGGUCCCUCCCAGCUGGCUGCCCCUGGCUGGGAGGCGAACACAUGGAUGGGGCACUGCACAGCUGGAGCCUGAGGCAAGGGCAGGAAUGUCCAGCAAUGCUUCAAGUCCUCACUCAGGAUGAGCAGAAGGGGAAAACUCCUUUAUUUUGAGAGCAGUCCAGAACCAGGGUAGCUCACACUGCUCCAGCCAUGAGGGAAGUUCUACAUCCCCUUGGAGCCAGUGCCCAGCUCAAUGCCAGGGAUCUGUUUGGGCACCAAAACUGCUCUCAGUGUGCUGGGUCUCACCGUGGGACACCAGCAGUGCUCACACAGCACAGGGCAUUGUUCAGUCAGCAGAAUUAAGCAAGUGCUGAAUUAGGCUUUGCUGUCAGGACUUCACCUGCCAGUGUUUGUUUUUUUGCAGGAGGAACAUCCCUCAUACCCUCAGUUCUCUCCUGAAGGAAAAAUACAAUAUUAUCUCAAUUAAACAAAAGCUUUUUUUCUACAGCUGUAUCACUCCAAAUGGAGCAGGAUGACAGGCAGAUCAAUGUAGGUCCUGUAAUUCAGAACAGGUAUUCAGAAUUGUUUCAGAGAGAGGGAAACCUUUUCCUCCCACCAGUGUAAUUUACAAUUUAUGGCUGGGAAAAAGCAGGAGGGGGGUGUUUGUGUGUGUGUUGCAGUAACUAUUGCUGAUUAUCACCCCUGGACUCUUCUCUUUGUUUUCCUUAGAUGAACAAUAUUGGGUAUCUGAUCCAAACAGAAUCCAUUCAGAAUUGCUGGACUGCUGCACAAAAUGGUGGUGUGUUGAAAAAUGCCUUUUUUCCCCCCCCUUGUUGGCAAGUCAGUGUGGUACAAAGAUGGGAGCAGGAAAGGAUAAACACAUGUAUGGUGACUGCAGUGAGCAGGUGCAGGGAUAAUUCCCAACACAGCCUGUAAAGCCCACUGCCAUUUGAAGGUGUCAGCACAGUAAUGGGAGAUGGAUGGGAGCAAUUCCUGCUGGGGCUCUUGCCAGAAGCACACAGUGCCUGAAUCCACACUAUUGACGCUGCUCUCCCCUCAUCUGAGCUGCAUUAGAGACGCUGCAAGAAGAGGACUGUGGACAGGGACAGUGGGAUGCUGUUAGUGAGUCACAUAGGACAGGAACUGGGAACUCAGCAAAGGCCAUGCACUGUAGCACAAAACUUGUAUCUGCAUGAAAAUCAAACCCUCCUUACUCCAUGUGUGCUCUGCAUGGUGGGGAUGGAGCUGCUCCUGCAGCAGCAGAAAAGGCCCUUUAGCUGCCCCCAGGUGCCACCAUCAGGAUGGCAACACCUGUGUCCAAGGGAUAGAAAGAGGGAAGCACAGAUGGACACAGAGAAGCCCCCAAAUGGAGCACGAAUGGGGAUCUGCUGCUGCUGGCCAGGAAAGGGUCAGUUUUAUCCACUAUAAAUAUACAGAUUUGAUAUAUAAUGGAUAUAUAAAGGUAAGGAUGAAUGGAAGUAAGGGAGGACAGACUUAGGAAUGGAUGGACAAAAGGAAAGAAGGCAGGAGAGUCAGCUGGAAGGAAGGACAAACAGAAGAAAGAAUGAACAGGAGGAAAGAAUGGGUGGAAAGAGGGACAGAAAGGGACACUAAAGGACAAACAGAAGGAAGGACAGAUGGAUGAAAAUAACACUGGUAGAAUAAAGGGAUGGAAGCAUGGGCAAAAGGAGGAAGGAAGGAGUGGAGCACAGAAUGAAGAACAGAAGGAUGGAAAAGAAGAUGGAAGGGGUAGAAGGAAGAACAUGUAUAGACAAAGGGGAGGCAAAAUAGGUGGAAAGACAGAUGGAAGAACAGAAGGAGGGAGGACAAAUGGUAGCAGUGGCAGAAAGAAGGACAGAGAGAUGGAAGGGAAGGAGGGAUAAAAACUGCUGCUGGAAAGAUGGGAGAAGAACAGAGAGAAGGAUGGAAGGCCAGCAGCAGAAGGAAGGAAAACUGAAACAGCACACUGAAAGAAGGGAAGAGGCUCACCCACUGUGCCUUGCAGGUCCUGGCCCAUUCCACUGUGACGCCAGCAGGGGCGAUGCUCAUGCCUGAUGUGAUGUGGGAUGGGGCUGUGCUAUGGGAGGCAGCAGCAAAAUCAUUUGAACUUGAUAAGCAAACAUCCUCCCAACUUAACAAAGCCCCGGUGGUAAUGGGAAGGUUAUGCCAAGUGUUUCAGCGCUGACUGUCAUGAGAGGAGUUUCCUCUGGGCCAGAGCUGCACAAAAUGGUUUCAGGAGAGAAGAAGCCAGGAAAAGCCUUUGCUGCCUGUGCUCCAAGCGCUGCUUUCCCCCAGCAAACGCAGCACCUUGGCCCUCGUUACAACACGACACAGCCACCCCGAGAGCUGCGGGCACAGCAACGAAGGCAAAAUCUGCAGAGGAAAAUUUGGAUGCUGGAUUCAAAACUUGCAGUGCUUUUUAAAUGUACAUUGCAAUUCAUCCCAUGGAGGGUCUACAGAGAGCAAGAGUGACCUAUUUGCUUCAGCUCUGAGCCUAGCUCUGGAGAGCUGGGUUUAGUUCACAGCUCAGCCACAGGCUAAAAUAUUGGACAUGAUGUGUGCCCUCUUUUCCCUUCUCUAACGAGAGAUUAUUAUUUCAGUGCCUCACACUGGUGAGAAAAGACAGAAUUCAUUAACCUCCCUGUGUUUUCAGAUACUCUGCUCACAAAGGUCACAUAUAAAUUAUAGUAAAAAAGUGGCUAUUUUAGGGGAUUAAACUGAGUUAACACACCAGGAAAUAUUAAUAUUAAAACGAGCAGCUGGCAUUAGAUCUGGUACCAGUACCUUGGAGAAACUAAAGAAAUACCUCCCAAACUCCUUCAUUUAACAUCUGUUUUUUGGUUAUAUCAAGGAGGGACUGGAGUUGUAAAUCCUGAUCACAGUUCUCUAGAAUCACAACAAAUUGUCCUUUUCAGCACACCCAACUCCUGUAGAGACUUUGCUCCUGUCACCAUGGAAAAGUGAUUUCUUUGGGCCAAGUUUGCCCUUCUGGUCUGAGCUGGCAUUGGGUUCCAGAGGGCAUUUUCCCCUGGGAAGUACACUGGGAUACUCAUCCAAAAAAACCCUCCAGCAACAGCGCUGUGGCAGUUUCCUGAGGUCAAACCAAAAUGUGUGUCCAAACACUAAACAGAAUUAGCUCCACUUCCAUUGCAGGUACCACAGAUAAGAAAGGCAAGGGAAGUGAGAGUAUUAAAGAAUAUCUUUAAACUUUUUAUCCCAAUAAUGAUAUUUUUGUACAAGAAAUCUAAAAAGAUUUACAAUGAACAAUAGUAUUUAUACACACAUAUAAAUAUAUAUAUAAAAUUGUAUUUAUAUGGAGAUGUAUAAAGCAAACCUGUUCCAUUUUUCCUCUUUUGGGUCAAACAUCCCUUGUUCCUUUUCUGAUUCCCUCUAACCAUUACCUCUCUCCUCAGGAACUCCCUUUGACCUGCAGUACUGUUCAGCUACGUUUGAGUUUUUUUUCCAGUAGAUGGUUUUCCAAUUAAAGCCAAUUAAGUCUGUAACCCAACUUCGUUGUCAUUCCUUGUGAUUUUUAGGGUCUUGCAAUUUUACUUUCUCCCUGAAAGGCCCACUCAGGGGAUUGUAGAGCAUUUCCAUUUUUAUUAAAAAGAAAAUCUUUGAAGAUAUCAUGCAAAAAUUGAAAUGAUGGAUGGGAAAAGCUAAACACCCCAACACCUUCUCUUUUUUUAAAGCUUUGUGAGCUCUUUGAUGCUUCAGUUGUAAUGAUUUAAUGCUUGGAAGCAGAGGGACUGAUGAAGAUGUCAGCCCAGAGCCUGGUUCUAGGGAUUGCUGUAUCUGAAACACCAAAGCAAAAUACUUUUCUACUGCUUUUCCAAAUGGUUUUGGUCUAUCUUUAACCAAAGUCUCUUCUGCUGUAACUAUUUAGGUAACACAAUUUAAUGACCACUCAAUUUCCCAAUGAAAAAAGGAGAGACUUCAACAAAUGUCUCCACCGCUCUUCCUGGUGCAAUAUCCACCUCUGCCAGGGAGAAGAGCCACCAACAGUUCAACAGGAAGUGAAAACAAUGACACAGAGUUCGAUGGGAAGAACAAAACCACAUGUAAAACAGGUUUGAACCAGAGUUUCCCACUGCUCUCCCUCAAAAGCAUUCCCAUCUCCAAUAAGUACCUGCUGCCCACUUGCUUCCAAGUGAAAUUCUCAGGGACACUCAGACUGCACAGUAGAAGUUGCCAAGGAAACUGGAUUCACUUAUGAUUUCACAUGUUGAUUAUUUCCAUCUCCUUUUUUUCCCCCACCCACAUAUGUCUUAAAAUUAGUAUUGUCCUUCAUGGUCUAAUUACCACACUGGCAUUGCCAUUCAGGACAGGAAAUUGGAUUUGCUACCUGAAUCCAGGCUUGAGCCACUCUCUUUCUUAAAGCAAGACAUUAAAAACCCCUUCAGAAUUAUUUUUUCAGUAGAUUACUUCAAACUGCCUUUUUUCCACACUGAUAACCAAAAUAUCCAAUGGCACAUCCAGCUAAAGAGCACAAAUACAACAUUCCCCGACUGAGCUGGUGCUGUAAAACUGAAAGUAGACAAGGAAAAAAAAUGGAUUUCUCUUUGUUGUUGUUUUGAUUUCUGCGAGUCACCCUACUGGGCAUUGGCCACACAAUGCCAAUGCCUUCAAAUGCAGUGGGAGGUAAUAUUGAUCUCAGUAAAGCUGGGAUCCCCAGUGCAUUUCAGGAGGUCACCAGCUCCCUAGUUAAAGUCAGCUGGAGCUGGAGGAAGCACUGAGAUGCUCCAGUCUGCAUGAGGUGGAACAACAGCUCAGGGACUGGACAGAUCUUCAGGCUACACAAAUUACAGCCAUAGUUUGUACAGGGACAGCUAUGGACUCUUAGGGUUUGAAGAGUAUUUUUAAGAGUUCCAUAUUUUGAUCCUAGUCCUGAAUUUUUCCCCUACUUUGAUCAUCACUCUGUGCAUUGUUUGAAGAGAUACUCAAAGCCAUGACCUUCAAAUGAGAGCCAAAUGACUGAGCACAGUUGAGGGUGAUCAUUUUCCCAUCACCAGCACUGUCAGAACAGUGUUGUUGAACUCUGGGCGUGUUUCCAUUUCUCCCUUGCUUUUCCAAAUGAUAUGAGAAAUGCACCACGUGGCAGAAUGAGAGGAAAUUAAUUAAUAGAAAAUUAAAACAUGAGCUCCUUUACUCUCAUGAGGAGACCACCUUGCAUUUGGUUUAACUGCACCUGUGAGAAUCUUACCUGACUGAGCCUUGCAGCAGGUUCCUCCCAAGCUGUGUGAUGCAGCUCGGUCAGGAGGGAUCGUGGCCUCUGUAUGGAUUAUCUCGUGCCUGGGGCUGCUCUUAAUAAAGAACAAUUAAACAGAACCUGGCAGAACACCAAGGAUGACACACUGUUCCUUCAGAGCAAUGGGAGUCUCUGUAAUCAGCUCCAAAAUUCAAGGGAGGCUCAGGACUAUUCCCAGGUGGUCGCACCUUCCCCUCAGAGCCAGUGUUAAGGAAUAGCGGCAGGUGUGUGCAGGUCAUUUGGCUGCUGUAACAGAUGUGGCAGCUGACAGCUCCACAAGGACUGGAAAAGGGAAUUCUGGAACAAUAGAGCACAGUUGACUCAACGGAUAGUUUUGUGGAAUGGAGCUAUUUUAUCACAUUUUAAGUGGUUUAAAAAUUGGGUAUUGGCAGGGGAUCAUUACACAGCUACCGGUUCCAUUAAGCAGCUGCAGAGUUGACAGGGUUAGCACAGAUACUCCGUUUUUCACCUACUGCUGCUUAAAUCCAACUAAGACCACUGGAGCCAACUAGCUCCAACUGACACAAGCAGCUUUUUUAAACUGAUUUCUGUUAAAAAAAAAAAAAAAAAAGCCAUUUACAUUAAAUUCCUUACACAUUGAUAACCCUCUGAAGAGACUCAUUGGCAUGGGAAGAAAAGUAAGCAGUGACAUGGUUCAUGGAGUGGAUCCAAAAGCUGGUUUUCCAGAGGACUCCUGUAAGAUCUCGUGUCAACCUGCAGAGGUGAGAGGUGGAGAGGGGUGUGAGGAGCUGUAGCAGAGCCCCCAGGGACGCCCCUCUGAGUAGGACAGAGACACCUGGAAGUGUGAAGUGCCUCCAUGAUGCAGUGACACGAGACUCCCAAGUAUUAUGGCUUUGAUCUGGCCCCGGUCCCCUUUACACUGUUAGAAAGUACACAUGGAAUUAAAUCCGACUGGCGCCGUGAUCAAUACUCUGAGGUGCUUUCAAAAUUAAGUAUUUAUUUUGGGGACUCCCCUUCUGAAGUUCCCUGGUUCUCCUUAGGAAUUCAGUGUAUUUCAUUACACCAAAGAACUUACACCAAAACUGUUAUUUCAUCUCCCAGGAAAAUUAAUCAGUGUCUUCCAUCAGCUCCUACAAGCUCCAUCUGUCAUGUCUCCAGUAGCCCUCCAGAAAACACUGGAAAGCACAUCUACACAUUUCCUUCAAAACACAAACCUAACGGUUGAUUAAAAAAAGGGAAAACCAGGGAGUUUGCAGACAAAGAACAUCUUUGUUUGUUGACAGCAAUGAAAUGUAACUUGUCACCAGCGCUGAUAUGUUGUAUUAAUGGCUCUUCUGUGAAAACACUGGGCUGGGUGUAAUAAAUAUUGAUGUGAGCACACUGGGUUGGGAAGUGUGUGACAGAUGGAAACUUUUUAAGGUGAACAUAAAAUCAUCUUCAAUAUUUCUCCAACUUGAAACUCUAAUAUCCCCUUUUAACUGGAAGCCAUUAUUAUGUUUAUCACCAGAAACAAUGUUUGCUGCUGAUACAGGAGAUAGAGGAGGGAAAAAUAUCCUUACCUGCUGCUGCUGCCAGCAUCCCUGAGGAACCAAA